Molecule: ribosomal RNA, 782 nt
Filed under: uncultured marine bacterium
Lineage: Bacteria
Description: bacterial SSU rRNA
Rfam family: Bacterial small subunit ribosomal RNA
Source: RNAcentral
GCAAGUCGAACGGAGUAGCAAUACUUAGUGGCAGACGGGUGAGUAACAUGUAGGUAUCUUCCCUUUGGUCAGGAAUAACACGAGGAAACUUGUGCUAAUACCAGAUAAGUCUUUACGGAGAAAGCUUUAUGCGCCAAUGGAUGAGCCUGCACUUGAUUAGUUUGUUGGUAGGGUAAUGGCCUACCAAGACUAUGAUCAGUAGCUGAUUUGAGAGGAUGAUCAGCCACAUUGGGACUGAGACACGGCCCAAACUCCUACGGGAGGCAGCAGUGGGGAAUAUUGCACAAUGGAGGAAACUCUGAUGCAGCGAUGCCGCGUGAGUGAAGAAGGCCCUUGGGUUGUAAAGCUCUUUCGUCGGGGAAGAAAAUGACUGUACCCGAAUAAGAAGGUCCGGCUAACUUCGUGCCAGCAGCCGCGGUAAUACGAAGGGACCUAGCGUAGUUCGGAAUUACUGGGCUUAAAGAGUUCGUAGGUGGUUGAAAAAGUUGGUGGUGGAAUCCCAGAGCUUAACUCUGGAACUGCCAUCAAAACUUUUCAGCUAGAGUUUGAUAGAGGAAAGCAGAAUUUCUAGUGUAGAGGUGAAAUUCGUAGAUAUUAGAAAGAAUACCAAUUGCGAAGGCAGCUUUCUGGAUCAUUACUGACACUGAGGAACGAAAGCAUGGGUAGCGAAGAGGAUUAGAUACCCUCGUAGUCCAUGCCGUAAACGAUGUGUGUUAGACGUUGGAAAUUUAUUUUCAGUGUCGCAGCGAAAGCGAUAAACACACCGCCUGGGGAGUACGACC